RNAcentral lists this ribosomal RNA (511 nucleotides) under uncultured microorganism. RNAcentral's name for it is "bacterial SSU rRNA". It matches the Rfam family "Bacterial small subunit ribosomal RNA", at positions 9 to 517 of the family's 1533-position model. The record is from RNAcentral.
GAGUUUGAUCGUGGCUCAGGAUGAACGCUGGCGGCGUGCUUAACACAUGCAAGUCGAACGAAGCGCCUUAUUUGAUUUUCUUCGGAACUGAAGAUUUGGUGACUGAGUGGCGGACGGGUGAGUAACGCGUGGGUAACCUGCCCUGUACAGGGGGAUAACAAUCAGAAAUGACUGCUAAUACCGCAUAAGACCACAGCACCGCAUGGUGCAGGGGUAAAAACUCCGGUGGUACAGGAUGGACCCGCGUCUGAUUAGCUGGUUGGUGAGGUAACGGCUCACCAAGGCGACGAUCAGUAGCCGGCUUGAGAGAGUGAACGGCCACAUUGGGACUGAGACACGGCCCAAACUCCUACGGGAGGCGAGCAGUGGGGAAUAUUGCACAAUGGGGGAAACCCUGAUGCAGCAACGCCGCGUGAGUGAAGAAGUAUUUCGGUAUGUAAAGCUCUAUCAGCAGGGAAGAAAGUGACGGUACCUGACUAAGAAGCCCCGGCUAACUACGUGCCAGCAGCCG